GCUGAUUUGAGAGGAUGAUCAGCCCAUUGGGACUGAGACACGGCCCAAACUCCUACGGGAGGCAGCAGUGGGGAAUCUUGCACAAUGGAGGAAACUCUGAUGCAGCGAUGCCGCGUGAGUGAAGAAGGCCCUUGGGUUGUAAAGCUCUUUCGUCGGGGAAGAAAAUGACUGUACCCGAAUAAGAAGGUCCGGCUAACUUCGUGCCAGCAGCCGCGGUAAUACGAAGGGACCUAGCGUAGUUCGGAAUUACUGGGCUUAAAGAGUUCGUAGGUGGUUGAAAAAGUUGGUGGUGAAAUCCCAGAGCUUAACUCUGGAACUGCCAUCAAAACUUUUCAGCUAGAGUUUGAUAGAGGAAAGCAGAAUUUCUAGUGUAGAGGUGAAAUUCGUAGAUAUUAGAAAGAAUACCAAUUGCGAAGGCAGCUUUCUGGAUCAUUACUGACACUGAGGAACGAAAGCAUGGGUAGCGAAGAGGAUUAGAUACCCUCGUAGUCCAUGCCGUAAACGAUGUGUGUUAGACGUUGGAAAUUUAUUUUCAGUGUCGCAGCGAAAGCGAUAAACACACCGCCUGGGGAGUACGACCGCAAGGUUAAAACUCAAAUGAAUUGACGGGGACCCGCACAAGUAGUGGAGCAUGUGGUUUAAUUCGAAGAUACGCGCAGAACCUUACCAACACUUGACAUGUUCGUCGCGACUUUAAGAGAUUAAAGUUUUCGGUUCGGCCGGACGAAACACAGGUGCUGCAUGGCUGUCGUCAGCUCGUGUCGUGAGAUGUUGGGUUAAGUCCCGCAACGAGCGCAACCCUCACUUUUAGUUGCCAUCAUUUAGUUGGGCACUCUGAAAGAACUGCCAGUGAUAAGCUGGAGGAAGGUGGGGAUGACGUCAAGUCCUCAUGGCCCUUACGUGUUGGGCUACACACG
Molecule: ribosomal RNA, 917 nt
Filed under: marine metagenome
Description: bacterial SSU rRNA
Rfam family: Bacterial small subunit ribosomal RNA
Source: RNAcentral